UACGUAGGGAGCGAGCGUUGUCCGGAAUCAUUGGGCGUAAAGCGCGCGUAGGCGGCCCGAUCAGUCCGUUCUGAAAGUCAAAGGCUCAACCUUUGAACGCGGAUGGAAACUGUCGGGCUAGAGUACGGAAGAGGCGAGUGGAAUUCCUGGUGUAGCGGUGGAAUGCGCAGAUAUCAGGAGGAACACCAAUAGCGAAGGCAGCUCGCUGGGACGUUACUGACGCUAAGGCGCGAAAGCGUGGGGAGCGAAC
This 250-nucleotide ribosomal RNA is filed under the name uncultured bacterium. RNAcentral describes it as "partial 16S ribosomal RNA". It matches the Rfam family "Bacterial small subunit ribosomal RNA", at positions 524 to 773 of the family's 1533-position model. The record is from RNAcentral.